This 665-nucleotide ribosomal RNA is filed under the name uncultured bacterium. RNAcentral describes it as "bacterial SSU rRNA". It matches the Rfam family "Bacterial small subunit ribosomal RNA", at positions 32 to 678 of the family's 1533-position model. The record is from RNAcentral.
UCCGCUGGCGGCAUGCCUAACACAUGCAAGUCGCACGAGAAAGCCCGGUUCGCCGGGCGAGUAAAGUGGCGCACGGGUGAGUAACGCGUGGAUAAUCUACCUCGUUCUGGGGGAUAACCCAUCGAAAGGUGGGCUAAUACCGCAUAAUCCGGCUGAUUCAUGGAUUGGUCGGCAAAGGUGGCCUCUUGAUCAAAGCUACCGGGAAGAGAUGAGUCCGCGUCCCAUUAGCUUGUUGGUAGGGUAACGGCCUACCAAGGCGACGAUGGGUAGCUGGUCUGAGAGGACGAUCAGCCACACUGGAACUGGUACACGGUCCAGACUCCUACGGGAGGCAGCAGUGAGGAAUAUUGCGCAAUGGGGGAAACCCUGACGCAGCGAUGCCGCGUGGGUGAAGAAGGCCUUCGGGUCGUAAAGCCCUGUCAAGUGGGAAGAAUAGCCUGGGGACGAAUAAUCCUCAGGUCUGACGGUACCACUGAAGGAAGCACCGGCUAACUCCGUGCCAGCAGCCGCGGUAAGACGGAGGGUGCAAGCGUUAUUCGGAAUUAUUGGGCGUAAGAGCGUGUAGGCGGCCGGUCAAGCCAAAUGUGAAGCCCAGGGCUUACCCUUGAAAGGCAUUUGGAACUGGUUGGCUUGAUUUCGGAAAAGGAAAUGAAUUCCGGGUUUAA